This is a non-coding RNA of Schistosoma curassoni, 45 nucleotides long. Lineage: Eukaryota; Metazoa; Platyhelminthes; Trematoda; Strigeidida; Schistosomatidae. The record is from Rfam.
AUCCAGCUGACAAGCCCUAAAUAGGACGAAACGCGCGUCCUGGAU